RNAcentral lists this transfer RNA (85 nucleotides) under Candidatus Levybacteria bacterium RIFCSPLOWO2_12_FULL_39_17. Its description in RNAcentral is "tRNA-Tyr". It matches the Rfam family "tRNA". Rfam says of the family: Transfer RNA (tRNA) molecules are approximately 80 nucleotides in length. Their secondary structure includes four short double-helical elements and three loops (D, anti-codon, and T loops). Further hydrogen bonds mediate the characteristic L-shaped molecular structure. tRNAs have two regions of fundamental functional importance: the anti-codon, which is responsible for specific mRNA codon recognition, and the 3' end, to which the tRNAs corresponding amino acid is attached (by aminoacyl-tRNA synthetases). tRNAs cope with the degeneracy of the genetic code in two manners: having more than one tRNA (with a specific anti-codon) for a particular amino acid; and 'wobble' base-pairing, i.e. permitting non-standard base-pairing at the 3rd anti-codon position. Lineage: Bacteria; Candidatus Levyibacteriota. RNAcentral also lists the same sequence under 1 other name. The record is from RNAcentral.
GCUGGGAUGGCGGAGUGGUCAAUCGCAUCAGACUGUAAAUCUGACGCCCGUUCGGGCUACCCAGGUUCAAAUCCUGGUCCCAGCA